RNAcentral lists this ribosomal RNA (206 nucleotides) under uncultured bacterium. Its description in RNAcentral is "partial 16S ribosomal RNA". It matches the Rfam family "Bacterial small subunit ribosomal RNA", at positions 568 to 774 of the family's 1533-position model. The record is from RNAcentral.
UUUGUAGGUGGCUUGUUAAGUCAGACGUGAAAUCCCUCAGCUUAACUGGGGAACUGCGUCUGAUACUGGCGAGCUUGAGUGCAGGAGAGGAACGCGGAAUUCCAGGUGUAGCGGUGAAAUGCGUAGAUAUCUGGAGGAACACCGGUGGCGAAGGCGGCGUUCUGGACUGCAACUGACACUGAAAAACGAAAGCCAGGUAGCAAACG